GAUGAACGCUGGCGGCGUGCCUAAUACAUGCAAGUCGAGCGAACGGACGAGAAUCUUGCUUCUCUGAUGUUAGCGGCGGACGGGUGAGUCACACGUGGAUACCCUACCUAUAAGACUGGGAUAACUUCGGGAAACCGGAUCUAAUACCGGAUGAUAUUUUGAACCGCAUGGUUCAUAAGUGAAAGACGGUCUUUCUGUCACUUCUCGAUGGAUCCGGGCUUCAUUAGCUAGUUGGUAAGGUAACGGCUUACGAAGGCAACGAUGCAUAGCCGACCUGAGAGGGUGAUAGGCGACACUGGAAGGGAGACACGGUCAAGACUACUAAGGGAGGCAGCAGAAGGGAAUGUUCCGCAAUGGGGGAAAGCAUGACGGAGCAACGCGGAGUGAGAGAUGAAGGCCUUCGGAGCGUAAAGACCUGCUAUGAGGGAAGAACAGAUGUGGAAGUAAAUGAGGAGAGCGUGACGGUAACUAAUCAGAAAGCAACGGCUAACUACGUG
This 497-nucleotide ribosomal RNA is filed under the name uncultured bacterium. Its description in RNAcentral is "partial 16S ribosomal RNA". It matches the Rfam family "Bacterial small subunit ribosomal RNA", at positions 28 to 507 of the family's 1533-position model. The record is from RNAcentral.